Molecule: ribosomal RNA, 496 nt
Filed under: uncultured bacterium
Lineage: Bacteria
Description: partial 16S ribosomal RNA
Rfam family: Bacterial small subunit ribosomal RNA
Source: RNAcentral
GAUGAACGCUGGCGGCGUGCCUAAUACAUGCAAGUCGAGCGAACGGACGAGAAGCUUGCUUCUCUGAUGUUAGCGGCGGACGGGUGAGUAACACGUGGAUAACCUACCUAUAAGACUGGGAUAACUUCGGGAAACCGGAGCUAAUACCGGAUAAUAUCUUGAACCGCAUGGUUCAAAAGUGAAAGACGGUCUUGCUGUCACUUAUAGAUGGAUCCGCGCUGCAUUAGCUAGUUGGUAAGGUAACGGCUUACCAAGGCAACGAUGCAUAGCCGACCUGAGAGGGUGAUCGGCCACACUGGAACUGAGACACGGUCCAGACUCCUACGGGAGGCAGCAGUAGGGAAUCUUCCGCAAUGGGCGAAAGCCUGACGGAGCAACGCCGCGUGAGUGAUGAAGGUCUUCGGAUCGUAAAACUCUGUUAUUAGGGAAGAACAUAUGUGUAAGUAACUGUGCACAUCUUGACGGUACCUAAUCAGAAAGCCACGGCUAACUACGU